GGAGAAGAUAUUUUAAGUUUAGUCAUUGAUGUGUAACUUACAUAUGAAAACACCUGGUAUAGGGCCUCCAUUUGUAUUAUUGUCCUGGGCCCAUUUUCAUUACUAGAAGUUUGAAUUCACUUCCUUUGAGCCAGGCAGACCUCUUGCUUUCCUCAUUAUUUGUACCUCUCUUCCUAUUUCCCUCUCCUCUGUCUUCCUAAAUAUGCAUAGCUGAGCCUUAUUAGGAUAUAUAGCCAGGAUUGGUAGAGAUUUAGGGGGCUCCCUUUCCUCUCUCCCUUUAACCAUUUCCCACCCCCUCAGGACAUGCGUGACAGAUGAUAGGCAGGGGCCAAGGGUCCUCUCUGGUCAAUGGCUGGCCACCUUUUUACCUCUUAAGAGGUUUCAAGAUAAUGAUAUCUGUGUAACUUCAUGGUAAGAAGAUAGAGCUCCAUUCUGCUCCCGCCAUGGUAACCCGAAGGCAAGGAAAUGGAGAAUCAGGCAGGAAUCCCCAAACCCCAGAGUGGUAUAAGCUGACAUUUAGGAAGAACACAGACGGCUGUCUCCCCUGAAAGCCAAACAGAUACUCAUGGGCCAGGUAAGUUCUCCCUUUCACAUUUAGGACCCCCAUUAACAAGAGUCUGCCUUUUGUGGUUGGUGUUUUCACCAUUUUCAUUUUAGCCAAGAAAAAUAAGAACUUCUGGGGCCACUGAUUGAUCCCUUUAAAUUGAGGGCAGAAAGCUGGCCAUUUUUCAGAAGCGAAGAGCGUCAGCAGUGGUGUUAGGUAUAACUAGAAGAGGGGGAAGAAGGGGCAAAAAUAGAGGUGGGGCAAAGUGUAAACAGGAAAUAGAAGACACAAAGCCAAACCAGCUUGAACAUUUUUAAGGACUUGAAACUCCAGGGAGUGGUGGAAACAAACUCCAGAUUGUUCCUGUCCUAAGUAAACACGGCAAUGUGUCUCUUACAAAGCUCUGACCACAGCCACUCUUUGAUACUGAUAGAACUAUUGCUUAUUGAAACUACUAUGAUGAUUUGCCCACUAACCUCCACUGGGCCCUCAGUAGCUGCCAGGCACCUGGCUAAGACUGAACAUCCUCUUGUCAAUCCUCACAGGAAGACUUGAAGUGAAAAUUGCAGGCUCUGGACUUGACUAGCCUGGGUUGGAAAUCUGGCCCUGUAGAGCUGUGUCAGAGCAAAUCAAAUUCUUCCCUGAGCCUAUUUCCUCAUUCAUUAUACCCAUUCUACUAAAUGCAUGUAAUAACUAUUAUACCUCUUAGAUUUCAACAUUAGACCAUUUAUCAGGGGUAGGAAGUAAGCAACCAAUAACAAUGUCACUUAUUAUUCACUGUUGGUAUUAUCAGUACCAGAAGGGCAAAGAAGCUUCUGAAGUUUGUCAACCUUAAAUAAUAAGAUAUAGAAAAUAUGACUAGCUAUAGAGUUUAUUCAAGCCCAAAGCUUGAGGAUGGCCACCCAGGAGCAUAGAUUCAAGUUUCCCUGAAUGUAUAUGCUGAGUAGCAGCAAUUAGAAGUGGGUUUUUGUUUCUGUGUUUUUUUGUUUUGUUUUGUUUUGAGAUGGAGUCUCCCUUCGUUGCCCAGACUGGAAUGCAGUGGUGUGAUCUCAGCUUAUUGCAAACUCCACCUCCUGGAUUCAGGAGAUUCUCCUGCCUCUGCCUCUGCCUCAGCCUCCCGAGUAGCUGGGAUUACAGGCACCUGCCACCACGCCCGGCUAAUUUUUAUAUUUUUAGUAGAGGCGAGGUUUCACCAUGUUGCCCAGGCUGGUCUCGAACUCCUGACCUCAAGACCUCACCCUCCCAAAGUGCUGGGAUUACAGGCGUGAGCCACCGCGCCCGGCCCUGUCUUUUCUCAAGGUCACUUGGCCCAGUGUCACAGAGCUGAACCAAGAUGGUUAGGCUGAGGGAUAGGUCCCGAAGUGCUCAGAUCUCCGGGCCUCAAGGCCCAGGCUGGGGUGGCACGGCAGGGGCUGAUGGGGAGGUGCCCAGGCCGCCGGCGGAUGCUCCCGGAAGAUGCUCUAAGCUGCCGCUCCAGGUAUCCCCUGGGCUGAGGCUACCUGGAGACGCCCACGGCAGUGACACACCAAGCGGGGUAUGGCGAAUCGUCAGGUCCGCAAAACCACCCAGUUCAGCAACUCAUGGCUAUGCCGAGCCCGCCGCGCUCAGCUCGGCCAGAAACAGCUCCUAGAGCCAGGGACUGGACCGCCCCCGCUGGCCUCUGGCAGGCAAACAGCCACCGGCCACGAAAUAGAUGGCCGCGAGGGCUUCCGGGAGCCGCGGGGCAGGCCGGGAGCCGGGCCGCACAGCCAAUGCCCGCGCGGGGGCCGUCGGUAGUUACCCGGCAACGAGGUGGACGCCCAGUAGAGGGAGCGGAGCCAGUAGGGCUGGAAGAACUGGCAAGAAAGCCCUAGAGAGAGGCGACCUGCCAAUUUUGGAAGCGGCUUUUUGUUUUGUCCCCAGAUCACUCAUUCCUACCUGGUCUUGGAGGAAGAUCGUCAAGGCAAAUGAUAAGAAACAGAAAUAAACCAGGGGAACAAAUAAUGAUAAAAAAGAUACUCAUAUUUGUUGAGCACUUACUGUCGGCCUGGCUCUUUGCAAGGAUUACUUAAUUUGAUCAUCUGAUUUUGCUGUCCCAAGUUGUAAAUGAGAAAAUAGGAGUUUAGACAGAUUAAGCAUCUUGGCCAAACUACCUCAAACUAGGGAGUGUCAGAGCUGGAAUUUGAACUUGGGUGGGCAUGAACUCAGGUGGCUUGAGUUCUUAAUGAGUCAAACCGUGGACACUCAUUUCAGUUCAGCAAACCUAAAUCUGUGUUCCUACUAGGCCAUGCAGGGCCAAUCCAGGUUUUAUGGGGUCUGAAGCUUAGACAAUGUUGGGGGGGGGGGUCCUCUUUUGGAAAAAAGAAUAAAAAAUUACAAAUAUAAAGUUAGGUACAAAAAUGAACUUAGAAUGUAAAAAGAAAUCAUAACAAAAUAUUUUUGCUAAUUUUACAAAAAUAUACGACCAUAUGAAUGCAUAGCUAGGGACUCAACGAAGCCGUCUUUGACCCUUAGCUUCCCUUGAAAUCCUUCAGUCAGAUGUCAAACUACCUUGCAAGCUUCUCUGCGGUUCUCCUCCCACCCUGUCUCCCAGCCAAAGGACCUGAGACCCUAGCAACAGGCUUAAUAGGGCUUUUCUGGCCAUAGGAGCGAUUUUAGCCUGAGUCAACUUGAGUGCCAGAGGGUGAAUGCCCUCAGAAGCAGCUCCCAAAUACUGAUGAACAGGGAGUUGGUGGAUAAAUUCCCUAGCUUCCUCAUCCCUCAAGUGAGAUCAUGCUGAGACACUUUGUGGUUCUUAGGGUGUAGUCCCAAACCAGCAGCAAACUGUACCACUUGAGAACUAGUUAGAAAUGCAAAUUCUUAGCCUACUACUACCCUGUACCUACUGAAUCUAAAAUUGUAGGGGCUGGGGCCCAGUCAUUGGUGUUUUAACAAGCCCUCCUAGUGAGUCUGUGCUGAAGUUUGAGAACGACUGUUCUGCUAGGCUGUUCCCCAGAGCUCCCUUAUGGGCUUGAGCUCCCGUUGUCUACAAUGGUAACCUGCUUGAUAACACAUCUUUUUUUGGUCUCCUUCCCUUUCUUGUCUCACUUCCUCAUUCUUCAGCUGGAGCUUCCUGAAUUCACUUCUAAUAAACGACUUGCACUUUAAUCCUUGUCUGGGAUCAGCUUCUAGAGAAACACCACCUUAGAUGAGAACAACUAGGGGAGGUGUCAUUGCCCAGUGAGGAGGAGGACGAUGGCUGGCUUCAGGGAGGACCAAAUGCUCUGCCAAAUGCUUUGCUCUCAUUGUCUGCUUCACCCUCACAAUGCCUCAGUUGAGAGGGAGAUGUUGCCCCCCAACGGGGAAACUAGGGUUUGGAGGAUUUAAGUGGCUUGCCCAAGAAUUUGAAUCCAGGUCUGAGUCCAAAAGGUGAGCUCCUUACCAGUGAGGGCAGAGGGCCAGCCCAUGUUUUGCUCUCUUGUCAUUCCUCCUCUUCUCAGAGCAGGCAAGCGUUAAAUGAAAAUUGUAGGAGGCCAUUGUUUUGGACUAAGUUUCUGAAUUAGGCCCCAGCAGACCAGGCUAAAAAUCCAAAGGGAGUCACCCAUGCUAAAGUUCCAUGGCACUAAACCCAAACUAAGUAGUUACCUGAAAAGAGGUAACAGCCAAUGUCCCAAACAGGCCAGUUCAAAUCUCAAUGGUCACAAGAGUGAAUCCCCUCUGCUUUAUUCCUUAUAUGAAAGAAGUAGCGUUGAGUAACCUGAUGCUAAUGAAUCAGUUGUUUUUCUAUCAUUCUGUCUCCCUGUCCCCACCUCGUGAGGGAAGUGGCUCUGAAGCAACUAAUAGGCUCUUUGUUCUUCUCUUCUGUUUCCUUCAGCCCUCUCUGUCUAUAAAACCAACUCCCUCUGCUCAGCUUAUCAGAACACUUAUUCUAUUUUAUGGAAUGAAGUGUUGCCAGAUUCUAUAAUUGCAAUAAAGCCAUUUGAGAUCUUUAAGCUAAAUUUCUUAUCAUUUUGUCUUUUGAUACAGGGAUCCAGUUUUGUUGUGAGGAGUGCUAUAGGCUGGACACUUUGGAAAAAUCCCGAGUGCACUUUGUGGACACUGCUGGCCUGAAAUAGUGGGGCACACUGGCCUGAGAGCUCCCUGGCUCCCAGUGCCUAAGGUCCUUUACCCCAUACUCCCUCAAGGUCCAUCCCUAUACCCUCCAGCCCACAGCAUGUGACCAAGCAUGUGCCCCUUAACCUGGAGCUGGAACCCUUCCUUUCACAGAUACCUGGAAAUUGAGCCAGAUCUGCAUCCGAGGGACACUAGAAGGGAUGGGGAGGAGCGCUUACCCCUGAACUCUGUUUUGUCUCAUGUUUGGAGGCCCAAGGUCAUUUGGUUCUUCAGAUUUCCAGCAAACUAUAGCUCUCACUCCCUUCCCGCAUGCCCUCACCCCACGGCUUUUACACUUAAGAGGAAUGGCCCUGCCUUCUCUGGGCCCACAGCUCCUGUGGCUUGAGGUUCCAGCCGUCUUGUUAACAAUUUUUCUCCCUGCGAUGUAGGAAUGAUGGCUGUGUUAACAGGUCGGGGGGCGGUUGGGGAGACACUAACAAGAUGAUAAACCUUGGUAUUUGGCUCUGCUGCUGACUUUGAGCGAGUCCUUUUUUACCUCUCAGAGCCUUAUUUUUCUCAUCUGUAAAGUGGGGAGUCCUGCUCCCCUCCCCUGAGGUUGUUCUAAUGAGGCCGUGCUCAUAGUAGGUAAAUAAUGUACACACACAACAUGGGCAUGCACAGCGAUGGGUGCAGGUUGCAAUUGGGACUUCCCUCUGUUCCCUCCAUCACAAUUGAUGAGGGACUUUGGGGCUGAUCUUGACUUCUCCAGGAUCCUGGUCUCCCAGUAGGUUGCUAGUGAUGCUCAAAAGGUAGGGGUCUCUCCCCAGGACACUGCCAGCCUGCCCUUCUGGGAGGAAGGAGACAGAAAGGGUUACUUUGGCAAUCACGAGGCUUAAGGAUGCCCCAAUGCUUCACCCUGUCCCAAACCGACCCCCUACUCCCACCCCCAAGUCUAAAGUGGGUCCCUCUACAAUAAUCUCUCAUCACGCCAUUCAUUCUUCCUUUGUGGCACUUAUUAUAAGUGCUAAUUAUUUAUCAAUAUUUGUUUUUUUAAACAAAACUUUAUUAUGAAAAGUUUCCAACAUUUACCAGAAAAACCCAAAACAGAACAGUAUCACAGACUCCAUAUACCUAUCACCCAGCUUCAACAAUGAUCAACUCGAGGUCAAUCUUGUUUUAUCUCUACCCCUACUCACUCCUGCCUCCUAGUAUUAAUUUGAGGCAACACAUUUGUAAAUGUUUUGGUAGGUAUUGCUAAAAAUAAGGGCUCUUGUAUAAAACAUAACCACAAAUACAUGUCAUUAUACAUUUAUCCAAACCCACAGAAUGUACAACACCAAGAGUGAACCCUAAUGUGAGCUAUGGACUUGGGGUGAUGAUGGUGUGUCAGUGCAGGCUCACUACUGUAUCAAAUGCUCUGCUCUGCUGGGGGAUGUUGAUACUGUGGCAGGCUGUGCACAACGUGGGGGCAGUCUCUGUACCAUCUUCUCAAUUUUCCUGUGAACUUAAAACUACUCUAAAAAAGUUAAGUCUUAAAAAAUAAAAUCAAAAGAGCAAAGCUCCUGUUAUUAAAUCUAAAAAAUGAACAAUAAUUCUUUGGUAUGUGAUUAUUGUUAAAUGUGUAUCUCCCUCCACUGGGUUGGGAGCCUCAUGAGAGCUUGCGUGAGGCCUACUAGGUCCUUGGUGAGUAAUUGUUGGAUGGAUGGAUGGAUGGGUGGAUGAAUGGAUGGAAGGAUGGAUGGAUGGAGAAAAGGCAAAGGGAGCUGGGAGCCCACUUUGCUUUCCAUGGAUGCUGUCUGAUCCCUUCAACACUGG
Molecule: long non-coding RNA, 6409 nt
Filed under: Homo sapiens (human)
Lineage: Eukaryota; Metazoa; Chordata; Mammalia; Primates; Hominidae
Description: HSALNT0358387
Source: RNAcentral